This is a long non-coding RNA of Quercus lobata, 2908 nucleotides long. RefSeq lists it as uncharacterized. The record is from RefSeq and is a predicted model, not a curated record. The transcript has 3 exons. NCBI's taxonomy places the organism in Eukaryota, Viridiplantae, Streptophyta, Magnoliopsida, Fagales, Fagaceae.
CACAGUAAAAUCAUGUGAUAUUACUGUUCACGCGCAAGGAAAAAAAAAAGUUUGAAAACGCAAAACGUAAACGCCACAUUCAGUUGAAUCUAAACGGGUACUUGAUUUUGCUCUCUCUCAACUCUUAAUAUCUGCAUUUUUUACUGUAUCUUACUUUGUUUUAUGGGAUGGUGGUAAAGAUAGUAAUUUCAAUUGAGUUAGUGUGGUCAUGUGAGUGUGUCAUGAGUGAUGAGUGGUUCUGUGACUGUGUCCAUCAAUGGGUGUGAGGUGGUAUGUUUUUCACAGGUAGAUGCAAUGUUGUUUCUUCUCGUUGUGGUUAAUAAUGUUUUCUUCAGGUGCCUUGUUUUCUUCUUUGUUUGUGUCCUGCGCCACUUCUUGUAAGGUAAGUCUUUGACUUUUCAAACUUACUCCCUUUAUUCACCUACAGGUAGUUGUAGAUUUCCUCUAUCCCCACUUGCUGAGCUUCUAGGCCAAGAGCUUCACUCUUUACUUAAGAUAAGUGCUAACACGCCACUUUGUUUUGUAACAGCAUGCAAUAUUACUUCACUUGCUUUAAGAAUUUCACUUCUUCCCAUGGUAAACUUUCAGGAACUUUUUUUUUUUCCCACAAUACUUGUGAUGGCUAUUUGCUUUAGGUGUGGGACCCUAUUCUCCUUCAAUGGCAUUCAACCACUUUGUCUUCUUAGCGAUACAUCUUUCAUAUUUUCUUCUAUUUUUUGUUAUUCGCUUCAAGAGCUAUGAAUAUUUGCUUUGAUCCACAUUUGUUGAAACCCAAGGGCGGUGAGAUGAUGGUGGUGAAAUGGAGGGCUGGAGGAGAUCUUUGUUGGUGGAAAGCAUAAAUUUGCAGAGCUCAGCACCGUCCACUGUUCAAAAUGUGGAUUUAGGUGGGACGAAGUGCCAUCGCUAAAGGAAGAGGAAACCCGUCGACAAAGAGUAGAGUUGUUCCAUCGAUGAUGUUAGUGGAGGUUUGCGAUAGAUUGCCGCCCAUGGCCGUUGGACCAUCUAUACCAAUUUUGGCUAAACAAUGUUGUUGACGAAGAGGCAGGAACCUUCUUCACUAAGGAGUGAGGAUUUUGUUGUAAGAGAUUGUUCCCAAAUGUGGUGACAAGAUGUUGAAUCUGUUCUUUGUGCAAGCUCGAUAAAGUUGGAUGCGACGCUCACCUCGGUUGGCUCUUCCUUAGGAGAUCACAAAAUUUCUGCGAGGUUCUAACCCAUAAGGUUGAGUCAUUGUAAUUGAGGCUGAAUUUCAUAUUGAAAUUGACUCUCCAUUGAUUCUUAUAGUUGCAAAACAUGAAGGUCAAUUUGUAGUGCGGUUGUGCUUGAUCUUGAGUUGGCCAUCUAGUUGGAAGUAAAUUGUUCCCAUUGUUUAUUGUAAACUCGAAUGAGCGAAUUGGGUCCAUAUGAGGAGAUGAUGAUGAAAGGACAAAUUGGGGAUGAUUCAAUAUUUUAGUAGCUUUAUUGUUGGCCAAUUUGGUGAGAUCAUGUUUGCCAAGAUUAAUUUCGAUGAAGUCGUAGCCAUGAGCAAUAUUAUUAGUUGUCUUGGGAUAGCUUAUUUGAGAUAGGAUGGAGUUAAGAUAUCACUGGGCGAUGUAGUAUAAGGGUGUGAUGCAGCUGCUACAUUGGUUGGCAGCACCCUGUAUUGCAUUCUUACAAUGAACGCAAGUGAGAAUGAGAGUUACUGAGUGGUAGUCGCUUCUUGAUUCAACAAGCUUGAAAUGAAAGUGUAGGAAUAAAACUUGGAUGUCUAGUGUAGAGGUGCAUGGUGGUUGAGUAAGCCUUUAGCCCCCGGUAAUGCCGAUGAAUGAGUUAUCAGGUUGUUUGCAUAACCACUUAAUCAUUGUGAAAUACUAGGUGUUAGUAUCAUUGAGAGUAAGCCAUGUGUUCCAGGGCUUUGUGACUAGAAAUUGUUGGCGAAGUUGAGAUUGAUGAUUCCAUAGAGUGUUUUAAUUACAGUGCUAUCCAUCCAUGAUAACCCUUGCAUCUUGGGCCUUGAUAGGGCAAAUUAGACCAUGAUGGCAUGAGAUGAUGUCUUGUAAAAUAGCCGUUGUGUAUGUUAAAAUGAUGAAUGACCCAACUUGUAUGCGAGUAGGAGAUUCCUCUUUGCUGGGUGGCUAUAAAAGAUGUUCAAUAAAACAUCAUUGUAUUGAGAUGCUUUCGCUUGUGGUGAUGUUGCAGCUCCAUUUGUUUGAGAAUGAAGUCGUAAUUUUUUUUUUUUGGGAAAAUCAAAUUUGUUGUGGCAAGCCAAAGCUCGUUACCACUCUUUCUUGUCAUGCCAAUAGGAGUUGUUGAGUGUAAUGCUUCUCCAUUCUACAUAGAAUAAAUGUACUCUGGCAGACUAUGUCAUCGUUGAACGGGAACUUGCAAUUUAUUUGGAUGACUUUGGCUUAGGCAAUUGUGAUGCCAUCGUUAGGACUUUCAUCCACGAGGCUGAUCUCAUUACCAAUACAUUAUUUUUUGAGGUUGAAGCUGUUGCGGAUAGCAACAUAGAACUACAAUAGAUGGAACCAUGGCUGCCAUUAGUAACUUUGAACCAUUUUGGUUCAUCUCUCACUUGCGGCUUUGAAGUAAAGAAGAGAGUGAUUGCAAGCCAAAGUCCUAAAGAUGGUGACGUUGGAUGGGGACUACAACAUUGCUUCAACUUUUUCCUUCACCUCCUCUCUUGCUUUCCUUUUUUUUUUUUUUUAAUCCAAUUGUCUUGUAUUGAGCCCCAAGCUUUGAAAUUUCGAACUAGUUGAAGUGUGUAAUAUGGGCUGCUUCCUUGGAAACAUUUUCUCUUAUAUUUCACCAUUGUAGACAGCCCACUUAUGUAUAGAGCAACUCUUGUCUAGUUAUAUUGGUGCCACUUUGAGUUUGUACUAUCAUGGUUAGUAGGCACAAUUUGUAUUUUAUACAAAGAAACACAUAUACA